This is an RNA transcript of Benincasa hispida (wax gourd), 3341 nucleotides long. It is a transcript of the gene named SMAD/FHA domain-containing protein, with no coding region annotated. The record is from RefSeq and is a predicted model, not a curated record. Lineage: Eukaryota; Viridiplantae; Streptophyta; Magnoliopsida; Cucurbitales; Cucurbitaceae.
GAAACGUAACCGGGAGAGCAGGGUAAGCGGUAAAGUGUGAGACAGUGAGUGGCACAGUUGAGCUUGUUCCGGACGCUACGGAACAUGUAAUUUCUAGGGUUUCAAAAUCCCCGCCAAAACUCUCCUUUUCAGUCUCACUCUCCAUCUCCAUCUCUCAGAAUCACAUCAAUGGAGGGCGAAGAUGCUAAUCAUGAAACCACCCCCAGUCCUCCCAAAUCCAAUGCAUUACCUAAUGAUGCCACUGGCUCCCAAACAAGCUCCUUUCACCCUCCUCCUCCGCCUCCUCCUCCUCCUCCUCCUCCUCCUCCUGCUCCUGCUCCUGCUCCUCCUCUCAACUCUGCAGAUGAAACGCGCCCCAACAAGCCAUUGACUCCUCGGGAAUUCAUUCUCGCAAUCGCCUCCAACAUUGCUGCCCACCCCCUGCAGAAUUUCGAUUCUAACGUUUGGGGCGUUCUCACUGCCAUUUCCCCCAAUGCCCGUAAGCGCCAACAGGGUAUAAAUAUUCUUUUAACUGAUGAUGAACACUGCCUCGGUCGAUUGGCGCCAGAUAGUAGAUACCAGUUUGACUCUAAUUCAGUCAGCGGAAUACAUUGCAGAAUUUAUAGGAAGAGCACCGAAGAUGCCGGUCCAUCAGUUUUCCUUAAAGAUACAAGCACAAAUGGAACAUAUAUAAACUGGGAGAGGUUGAAAAAGAACAGUCAGGAGGCUAAAAUCUGCCAUGGGGACAUCAUAUCACUUGCUGCAGCUCCACAGCAUGCGGUCGCAUUUGCAUUUGUCUAUAGAGAGGUGGCUGCAUCUACUUCAUCAUCAGGUGGUGGAUCUGCAAAAAGAAAAGCAGUGGAUUCUGUUGCUGAAAACAAAAGGUUAAGAGGUCUUGGAAUUGGUGCUCCUGAUGGUCCAAUAUCUCUUGACGAUUUUCGAAGUCUUCAACGAUCAAAUAAGGAGCUUAGGAAGCAGCUGGAGGAUCAUGUGCUUAUAAUAGAUUCAUUGCGUAAUGAAAAUCGUGUAUCCGUGGAGCACCAUGAACAUGAGUUGAAAAAGCUUAAAGAGUCCAUAUCAAAAUCUUUUGAAGAUCAGAUCAUUAAGUUGCAGCAGUUGAUUGACAAUGAACAUAAGGAGCUUGGGGAGGUUCAAAGAAUAUCUUCCGAACAAAAGCAUGUUAUAGAAGAUCUUCAAGAAAGACUCAGUGCUACUGCUCAGUCAUGUAAUGAAGCAAAUGAAAUAAUAAAUAGCCAGAAGACAUCUUUAAGCGAGUUGAAGGUUCAAAUUGAUGAAGAACGUGAUCAGAGACGAGAAGAGCGAGAGAAGGCUGCUGCAGAUCUGAAGGCAGCUGUACAGAAAGCUCAUGCAGAGGCUCAAGAUGAAUUAAAACGCCUUUCUGAUGCUGCCUCAAAGCGCGAAAGAGAACAACAAGAAGUAAUCAAUAAACUUCAGGAAGGUGAGAAAGAACGGUGUUUGCUGGUGGAAACAUUGCGGUCCAAGUUGGAGGAGACUAGACAGAAAUUAGUCAUGUCGGACAAUAAAGUUCGCCAGCUAGAAUCUCAACUUGGUGAAGAGCACCUAUCCUGUAUGAAUGAAAGAAAAAAAGUUGAAGAACUUGAACGUGGAAUAAAAGAACUGCAGAAAGAGCUUGUGAGUGAAAAGCAGGGAGCAAGAGAAGAGGCUUGGUCUAAGGUAUCAUCUCUGGAACUUGAAAUAAAUGCUGCAAUACGGGAUCUUGAUUUUGAGAGGAGGAGGCUAAAAGGUGCUAGGGAAAGAAUUAUGCUUCGGGAAACACAGCUACGAGCAUUUUAUUCUACCACCGAAGAAAUUUCAGCUUUGUUUGCCAAGCAGCAGGAGCAAUUGAAAGCAAUGCAAAGGACUCUAGAAGAUGAAGAGAAUUAUGAAAACACUUCAUUUGAUUUUGAUCUCAAUGUGCCCCCUGAGCCUGCAAAUGGAAAUUUACUUGGAGAAAAUGUACGGAUGAACUAUUGUAACAAAUCUGCCAAAGCUAGUUCGGCUAUGUCAGCUCAGAGAUUUGAGCCAGUCCAAGGUGAGACGUCUGCUGACGAAGCCAGCACUGAACAGCACGACUGUGAUUUCAGAAGUCAAGAAUGUCAAAAUACUCAAGAGGCAGAAUUCACAAGUGCUGAUGCUGGUGUUAAGGGAGGUUUUGGUUCUGACAUUGAUGGCGUUGGCACAGCUCCUGUUUUGGAAGGAGACAUAGUUGGGACUGAACGGGUUCUUGAAACGGAAAGUCCUGGAGUUGAUGGUGAUCGAACCAUGGAUUUCAACAAGGGUAUGACCUUAGCAGGGGAAACAAUGUGUUUUGAUGAUGAAGGUUGUGCAGGAGAGACGGAUGAGCAGGCUAAGACGGUUCAUCAGGAAGCUUAUUGUCGGUCUCAGACAAAUCAAACAUGUGAUGCUGUCGAUGCAAUGGAAGACACUGAAGCUGGUGGAACAGUCAGAACCGCAGACCUCUUAGCUUCCGAAGUUGCUGGUAGCUGGGCUUCCAGUACUGCACCAUCCGUUCACGGUGAGAACGAGUCUCAAAGAAGCAAAAGCAACGAGGAAGAAGGUGGUGGAGCUCUUCAUGACUCGAACAGCCAGGUUACAGGGAGUCAAAGUACUCUUUUCAAGCCCGUUGCAACAAAAUGGAACUCUGAGCAUCAAACUUUAACCGAGAUGAUCAGAAUAGUUGCUCCUGAAUCAAAACAGUUUUUCCGCUCUACGAAGGAUGGUCCCGAGGGGGAAGAGGACACUGCAUCUGGCUCAGAUACAGAAAAUUGCUCAGAUAAUGAUGACAAUGCGAAUGAUAAUAAUGAAACCAAAGCCAAGGAAGGGAGAGUCUCAGAUUCAGAAACUCAAGGAGUCGACGUCGAUGUAAUGGAUCCAAAACCAGACGAUCCAAUGGAUGAAGAUGAUGAUGAUGAUACGCAAGAAGAUUCUGUAGGAUGAAAUUUGAAGAGGCUGAAGCUGUAAAUAUGGUGACAUUCUGUUCUCGUAUCUUCUUGAGCUAUUCUGGACUGAGAUUGUUAGCAGUGAAUAUGAUUAAAUGCUGUGUAAUGUAGAUGAUAAUGAAGCUCAUGAAAGUAGUAAGUUUUCCUAUGACUUCUUUCAUGGGUACCAUAUUCCUAAAAUCGUUUAAAUAGAAGCCUCUACAAAUGACCCCAAAGGGGAUUGGGGAUUCUAUACCGUAUCUAAAUUAGUUUAUACCACCAUACUUUGCAACCUGAUUCCAGAACAUUCAAUUGUCAAGAUUUGUAAGACUUUAGUAGCUCGAGUGGAAACCUAGUAUUUCAAAGUGCUGCCUUCUUUGGGUUGAAAGGUGAGAUAUUAUUAAGUCGUAAAUUUUGUUGUCA